RNAcentral lists this ribosomal RNA (225 nucleotides) under uncultured bacterium. Its description in RNAcentral is "partial 16S ribosomal RNA". It matches the Rfam family "Bacterial small subunit ribosomal RNA", at positions 265 to 504 of the family's 1533-position model. The record is from RNAcentral.
CCACCAAGGCGACGAUGGGUAGCCGGCCUGAGAGGGCGACCGGCCACAUUGGGACUGAGACACGGCCCAGACUCCUACGGGAGGCAGCAGUGGGGAAUAUUGGGCAAUGGGCGAAAGCCUGACCCAGCAACGCCGCGUGAGGGAAGAAGGUUUUCGGAUUGUAAACCUCUGUCCUCAGGGACGAAGGAAGUGACGGUACCUGAGGAGGAAGCCCCGGCUAACUAC